This 532-nucleotide long non-coding RNA is filed under the name Rattus norvegicus (Norway rat). RNAcentral's name for it is "long non-coding RNA NONRATT028381". The record is from RNAcentral. Lineage: Eukaryota; Metazoa; Chordata; Mammalia; Rodentia; Muridae.
AAGUGAGUCUGAGAGAACUCUUUAAUGGUCUAGCUGAAGAAGCCAAGGGGAGGGGUGUGACAAAGAGUGUGAUUUGUCACCAAAUCCACCUGGACAGGUUCCAAUGAAGGAGGGAGUAACAACAUGGAUAGCUACCAAAACCUCAGUAAAAUGUAUUAAUGUUCUUUCGUGAGAUGACUCUAAGUGGGAGAUCAUGGCAGGCUAUAGUAAAAAUAACGGUGUCAACACUGGCCUUCUAUAGGUCGAGACAUAAAAGUGAAAUGAAGGUAAAACCACCAAGAUUCACCUAUGAAAGGACGGGGUGGUACCUACUCUCUCCAGACACCAACCCAGAUCUCUGCCACCGGGGAGCCUUCAUGUCUACACUGCCGCUGGCUUAGAGAAGCUGGUUCUGAGGAAGCCAUUCCCCCUGCCCCACAUGCCCUCUUGUAAGCACUGGCUCCUAGGAAUGGCGCUCAUAGGCAUUUCCCCCUAACACUGCUGAAACACAACCUCUUACAUAAGUGAACCCCCCAUUCAGUGGACUCAUUUG